GUGAGGAAUAUUGGUCAAUGGGCGAGAGCCUGAACCAGCCAAGUCGCGUGAAGGAUGAAGGUUUUAUGAAUUGUAAACUUCUUUUGCAGGGGAAUAAAGUACGGUACGUGUACCGUUUUGUAUGUACUCUGCGAAUAAGGAUCGGCUAACUCCGUGCCAGCAGCCGCGGUAAUACGGAGGAUCCGAGCGUUAUCCGGAUUUAUUGGGUUUAAAGGGUGCGUAGGUGGAUUGAUAAGUCAGCGGUGAAAGUUUGCAGCUUAACUGUAAAAUUGCCGUUGAAACUGUCGGUCUUGAGUGCAAAUGAGGUAGGCGGAAUGUGUUGUGUAGCGGUGAAAUGCUUAGAUAUAACACAGAACUCCGAUUGCGAAGGCAGCUUACUGGGAUGCAACUGACACUGAUGCACGAAAGCGUGGGUAUCAAACAGGAUUAGAUACCCCAGUAGUCC
RNAcentral lists this ribosomal RNA (445 nucleotides) under uncultured bacterium. RNAcentral describes it as "partial 16S ribosomal RNA". It matches the Rfam family "Bacterial small subunit ribosomal RNA", at positions 354 to 796 of the family's 1533-position model. The record is from RNAcentral.